GACGAACGCUGGCGGCGUGCUUAACACAUGCAAGUCGAACGGAAAGGCCCUGCUUGCGGUGCUCUCGCGUCGCACGGGUGUGUGACACACGAGUGAGCUCCCCUCUCCUCUUUGUGAUAUGCCUGAAACAGUGGGUAAUACACCGUAGAGAUGCUUUCUUCAUGGUGGGGGUUGGAAAGCUUCUGCGGUGUUGGAUGGGCUCGCGGCCUAUCAGCUUGUUGGUGGGGUAGUGGCUUACCAAGGCGGUGACGGGUAGCCGGCCUGGGAGGGUGACCGGCCACAUUGGGACUGAGAUACGGCCCAGACUCCUACGGGAGGCAGCAGGGGGGAAGAUUGCACAAUGGGCGGAAGCCGGAUGCAGCGACGCCGCGUGGGGGAUGACGGCCUUCGGGUUGGAAACCCGUUUCGGCAGGGGCGAAGCUUUUGGUGACGGUACCUGGAGAAGAAGCACCGGCUAACUACGUG
Molecule: ribosomal RNA, 465 nt
Filed under: uncultured bacterium
Lineage: Bacteria
Description: partial 16S ribosomal RNA
Rfam family: Bacterial small subunit ribosomal RNA
Source: RNAcentral